UUUAAAUGUUAAAAAUACUCUUUUAUUCAAAAUCUCUCAAUCUAUUUAGAAUAGUUGCUAAUUGGAAAUAUGACGUUAAUUAUCUUUUUUUGACCUGUUAGGGAGAAGACAACUUAUUCCCUAGUUAUUAUUAGUAAAUAUAAUAACUACAGUUAUUAGUGGCUUAAGAUACCAGAAACCCCCAAAUAUUGUCUUAGAAAACACAUUUUAUUUUAACCAAGAUCUGACAGCCAUUGUGGAAAGUUAUGUUCGUGAGAUUGGAUGCUUAAUGAGAAUCUUAAUUGUUUAAGUAUAUUUUUCAGUGGCUGUUGGAUGUAGCUUAAGAUGAUUAGAAAUUUUUAUUAUUUCUAAAAGUGAGUUAAGAAAGCACUCCGAUACAAUAUUGAAUGUAUUUAUAUUUUAACUCUACCUUUGUAUAGGUGGUUUUAUGUACCUUUAACCAUUACAAACCAAAUAACAUUUUCUUGGUAUUUGAAAAACUGAUAAAAUAUUCGAUUACGUGUAUUUUAAUAUAUAUACAUAGAGUGGUAUGGAUGUUGAAUUUAUAUCUUUGACAUCUUUUCAC
RNAcentral lists this long non-coding RNA (565 nucleotides) under Pelobates cultripes (western spadefoot toad). Lineage: Eukaryota; Metazoa; Chordata; Amphibia; Anura; Pelobatidae. The record is from RNAcentral.